CUUCACCUGUGUCUGAAGCAGAGACUGUGUGGUCGGUCUCUGAGUAAACCUGAAGUUAACAAAGUCCAGAGGGAUUCAGGUCAGAGGUCAGAGGUCACUGUGAUGAGCUCAGGUGUAUCCUCAGGUGUAACAGUCACAGCACAGAGAGACAG
Long non-coding RNA from Toxotes jaculatrix (banded archerfish), 152 nucleotides. RefSeq lists it as uncharacterized. NCBI's taxonomy places the organism in Eukaryota, Metazoa, Chordata, Actinopteri, Toxotidae. The record is from RefSeq and is a predicted model, not a curated record. The transcript is spliced from 3 exons.